AACUGGAGGACCGAACCGACUAAUGUUGAAAAAUUAGCGGAUGACUUGUGGCUAGGGGUGAAAGGCCAAUCAAACCUGGAGAUAGCUGGUUCUCCCCGAAAGCUAUUUAGGUAGCGCCUCGGACGAAUACUACUGGGGGUAGAGCACUGUUAAGGCUAGGGGGUCAUCCCGACUUACCAACCCUUUGCAAACUCCGAAUA
This 200-nucleotide ribosomal RNA is filed under the name Vibrio parahaemolyticus. RNAcentral describes it as "partial 23S ribosomal RNA". It matches the Rfam family "Bacterial large subunit ribosomal RNA", at positions 764 to 962 of the family's 2925-position model. Lineage: Bacteria; Pseudomonadati; Pseudomonadota; Gammaproteobacteria; Vibrionales; Vibrionaceae. The record is from RNAcentral.